Molecule: unclassified non-coding RNA, 552 nt
Filed under: Melitaea cinxia (Glanville fritillary)
Lineage: Eukaryota; Metazoa; Arthropoda; Insecta; Lepidoptera; Nymphalidae
Description: misc RNA ENSMCXG00005011442.1
Source: RNAcentral
UGAAUAAAAUGUCUGAAGAAAUAUCGUUUCACACGACCUACCGGAUGAGUCUAAAAUUAGUCGUUAACCAAGAUUCAAUCUUUGAUACACCUAGAAAACAUAAACUAAGAGAAAAGUUAAAAAAAAGGAACUUUAUUUAAAAAAAAUGUAAAAAAAUUAAAUCAUUACAGCAAAGAGUUAGACGUCUUUAAAACAGGAACUUGCCCUUCAGAGGAAUCAUCAAUUACUUAAAAACGCAAUUUUUAUUGAUACAUUUAUAUAAUUCAUUAAAUCAAAACAUGGCUGCAAUAGAUUUAUUUAACAAUUUGAAGCAAAAAAAGGAGUAAAUAUAUUUAAAACUAUAAACAGAUUUUUAUUUUCGCAUACCCAUUUUACCUAUAUUAAAUUAAUUGUAUUUAAUCCCAUUUAAUAAAAUUUUCAGGGACUUUUUUUAAAAAGUGUCAACACUUCACUCACUCACACAUAUUUAAAAAAGUGGCUUCACUUUUUUGUUCUAAGUGCGUUAUCUAUUUUUUUUUACUUGAUCUAUGGUUUGACAGCGGUAAAUAACUU